This 492-nucleotide ribosomal RNA is filed under the name uncultured bacterium. Its description in RNAcentral is "partial 16S ribosomal RNA". It matches the Rfam family "Bacterial small subunit ribosomal RNA", at positions 29 to 507 of the family's 1533-position model. The record is from RNAcentral.
AGUGAACGCUGGCGGUAGGCCUAACACAUGCAAGUCGAACGGCAGCACGGUAAGAGCUUGCUCUUACGGGUGGCGAGUGGCGGACGGGUGAGGAAUACAUCGGAAUCUACUUUUUCGUGGGGGAUAACGUAGGGAAACUUACGCUAAUACCGCAUACGACCUACGGGUGAAAGUAGGGGAUCUUCGGACCUUGCGCGAUUGAAUGAGCCGAUGUCGGAUUAGCUAGUUGGCGGGGUAAAGGCCCACCAAGGCGACGAUCCGUAGCUGGUCUGAGAGGAUGAUCAGCCACACUGGAACUGAGACACGGUCCAGACUCCUACGGGAGGCAGCAGUGGGGAAUAUUGGACAAUGGGCGCAAGCCUGAUCCAGCCAUACCGCGUGGGUGAAGAAGGCCUUCGGGUUGUAAAGCCCUUUUGUUGGGAAAGAAAAGCAGCAGGUUAAUACCCCGCUGUUCUGACGGUACCCAAAGAAUAAGCACCGGCUAACUUCGUG